UACGUAGGGCGCGAGCGUUGUUCGGAUUUACUGGGCGUAAAGGGCGCGUAGGCGGUCAGCACAAGUCAGUUGUGAAAUCUCCGGGCUUAACUCGGAAAGGUCAACUGAUACUGUGCGACUAGAGUGCAGAAGGGGCAACUGGAAUUCUCGGUGUAGCGGUGAAAUGCGUAGAUAUCGAGAGGAACACCUGCGGCGAAGGCGGGUUGCUGGGCUGACACUGACGCUGAUGCGCGAAAGCCAGGGGAGCGAGCGGG
This 254-nucleotide ribosomal RNA is filed under the name uncultured bacterium. Its description in RNAcentral is "partial 16S ribosomal RNA". It matches the Rfam family "Bacterial small subunit ribosomal RNA", at positions 524 to 776 of the family's 1533-position model. The record is from RNAcentral.